UGUGCGACGCACAAUGCCUUCAAUUUCAAACCUAAUCAGUUAUAAAAUACUAGUAUUAUAUGAUCUUAUGCUAUAAUUAAACAAACAUGUAAACGCCAAAUUUAAAAUUUAUUUGAAUGCUUGGGGAGGUAAUUUUUUGGGAACCUUGAACUGGUCUUGUGAGUUUAUUUCAUGCUUUGGUAUCAUCAUAUUUCUGCUAGCUGUACUUUUACAAAAUUGACAUAAAAAAACUUUAUGGUUAUAAAAUAUAUGCAAGGCAUUUGGUAUUUUUGGGCAAUGAAACGACAAUGAAUUACUAGAAGAUAUGGGGGUAUCAACCACGGUUGUUGAUACAUUCCAAGUUUUAGGAAAAUUUGUUAAUUACGAAAACCGAAUCUCAACUGCUUCCUCUUACAAAUUCAGAAAUAUUACA
Molecule: long non-coding RNA, 412 nt
Filed under: Malus domestica (apple)
Lineage: Eukaryota; Viridiplantae; Streptophyta; Magnoliopsida; Rosales; Rosaceae
Description: long non-coding RNA (MDOM_LNC010631)
Source: RNAcentral